This is a non-coding RNA of Acanthosepion pharaonis, 102 nucleotides long. The record is from the annotation of a GenBank genome assembly. NCBI's taxonomy places the organism in Eukaryota, Metazoa, Mollusca, Cephalopoda, Sepiida, Sepiidae.
AGCGUUGAAACAUCGGUUCCCGUACGAUCACUGAAGUUAUGCCACGUCGAGCCUAGUGAGUACCUAGAUGGGUCACCGCUUGAGAAUACCAGGUGCUGUCAG